UGACCACUUCUUCAAGAAGUUAAGGCCAUACGGACAGCCGGGUCAAAUGCCGA
This 53-nucleotide small RNA is filed under the name Paenibacillus yonginensis. RNAcentral's name for it is "Streptococcus sRNA SpF59 (ldcC RNA)". It matches the Rfam family "Streptococcus sRNA SpF59 (ldcC RNA)". Lineage: Bacteria; Bacillati; Bacillota; Bacilli; Caryophanales; Paenibacillaceae. The record is from Rfam by way of RNAcentral.